This 70-nucleotide transfer RNA is filed under the name Podarcis lilfordi (Lilford's wall lizard). Its description in RNAcentral is "tRNA.Ile". The record is from RNAcentral. Lineage: Eukaryota; Metazoa; Chordata; Lepidosauria; Squamata; Lacertidae.
GGAUAGCUCAGCUGGUUAGAGCAUGGUGAUGAUAAUGCCAAGGUUACAGGUUCGAUCCCCAUAUGAAACA